Zalophus californianus (California sea lion) is the source of this 614-nucleotide long non-coding RNA. RefSeq lists it as uncharacterized. Lineage: Eukaryota; Metazoa; Chordata; Mammalia; Carnivora; Otariidae. The record is from RefSeq and is a predicted model, not a curated record. The transcript is spliced from 4 exons.
UGAGUGAUGGAGUGGGUUGCCAACUAUAGUGACUCCACUCAGCAUGCGGGAUAGCUGUGGGGAAUACAUUCAGACAUGCACAAAGAAGUCUGCCCAGGGGGAGACACAUACCUUUGAGGUGUAAAUCAGAAAGGAAGGAGAGGCUGUUUCUACAGGUGUCAUAGAAAAAUCAAUACUGAGCCACGGAUUAUUGGAUCCCAUAGAACCAUGGAGACUUGGCAGUGAAAUUCUUCCAAAGGUUCUCCUAGAUUUCGAAAAGUUGAAAAGCUAUCCAUGACACAUUGGUUGUUUUAUCACAUUGCUUAGCAUUCCAUCCAUUCAGGCAAACGGUGUUCCUAGGUUUGGAAGUAUAAAUCCCAGGGGAAGUGAGCUGAAGAACAUUUCAUGCAUCACUCAUCCUAUUAUGAGCCCUGUGCUGUUCCAUCUCUCUACAAGACUGGCUGAAACAACAACAAAAAUUGUUUGUAAUUUGUAUUCUAACUUUGGAUCACCUAGUUAAUACCCUGACUCUGACUACCCAGAAAGACAAGGUUGUGUAGGAAGAACUGUCUAUUAGAAAGCUGCUGCUUUAUUAAUAAAAUCGCAGGGAAAAUGUGACAUUCUGGAUGUUCCAU